RNAcentral lists this ribosomal RNA (1367 nucleotides) under metagenome. RNAcentral's name for it is "SSU rRNA". It matches the Rfam family "Eukaryotic small subunit ribosomal RNA", at positions 145 to 1368 of the family's 1831-position model. The record is from RNAcentral.
AACUGUUGGAAUCCGAGAGCUAAUACAUGCUAAAAGUCUUGACUGGGGGGCGACCUUCUGGAAGGGAUGUAUUUAUUAGAUGUGGAACCGAUGCGGGGUAUUCCAAACUGCGUGUGUGUGCUCGUCAAAAGGCGCGCAUGCGUGGGCUCCGGCUUUAUGGUGAAUCAUGAUAACUUUGCGAAGCGAAUGGCCUCUGCGCCGUCGCUGAUUCAUUCGAAUUUCUGCCCUAUCAACUUUUGACGGUAGUAUAUAGGACUACCGCGGUCUUGACGGGUGACGGAGCAUUAGGGUGCGAUGCCGGAGAGGGAGCCUGAGAAACGGCUACCACGUCUACGGGCGGCAGCAGGCGCGUAAAUUACCCAAUCCCGAUUCGGGGAGGUAGUGACAAUAAAUAACAAUAUUGGCCCAGUCAAAUGGGCUAGUAAUUGGAAUGAGGACGAUGUAAAAAACCUACCGAGUAGCAAUUAGAGGGCAAGUCUGGUGCCAGCAGCCGCGGUAAUUCCAGCUCUAAUAGCAUAUUUUGAAGUUGUUGCAGUUAAAACGCUCGUAGUUGGAUUUUAGGGCUCGUAUGUAAAAAGCCAGGUCUUGGUCCGCGUAUAGCGAGUACUGUCCUGGCCGGGCUCUCCUUAUGGGAUACUCACUGUGGCGCUUAACUGAGUUGCAGUAGUAGGGUGUCGGCGGGGGGGGCGUGGGGUUAAUAGCCCUGCGCUUCCUCUCUGGCACCCCGGGUUCCCAUUCGUUUACUUUGAAUAAAUUGGAGUGUUCAAAGCAGGCAGUUAACGCCUUGUACAAUUCAGCAUGGGAUAAUGGAAUAGGCUGUUGGCUUAUUUCGUCGGAAUGGUUUCUAAGCACAACAGAAUGAUUAAGAGGGAUAGUUGGGGGUUUUCGUAUUUAAUUGUCAGAGGUGAAAUUCUUGGAUUUGUUAAAGACGAACUACUGCGAAAGCAUUAACCAAGGAUGUUUUCAUUAAUCAAGAACGAAAGUAGGGGGAUCGAAGACGAUCAGAUACCGUCGUAGUCUCUACCAUAAACGAUGCCGACCAGCGAUUCGGAGACGUUAAUAUUUUCAGAUGACUCCCCGAGCAGCUUGUGAGAAAUCAGAGUGUUUGGGUUCUGGGGGGAGUAUGGUCGCAAGGCUGAAACUUAAAGGCAUUGACGGAAGGGCACCACCAGGAGUGGAGCCUGCGGCUUAAUUUGACACAACACGGGGAAGCUUACCAGGUCCAGACAAAGUGAGGAUUGACAGAUUGAGCGCUCUUUCUUGAUUCUUUGGGUGGUGGUGCAUGGCCGUUCUUAGUUGGUGGAUCGAUCUGUCUGGUUAAUUCCGAUAACGAACGAGACCUUAACCUGCUAAAUAGUCACCGGAAG